This 468-nucleotide ribosomal RNA is filed under the name uncultured bacterium. RNAcentral describes it as "partial 16S ribosomal RNA". It matches the Rfam family "Bacterial small subunit ribosomal RNA", at positions 28 to 507 of the family's 1533-position model. The record is from RNAcentral.
GACGAACGCUGGCGGCGUGCUUAACACAUGCAAGUCGAACGGAAAGGCCCUGUUUUUGUUGGGUGCUCGAGUGGCGAACGGGUGAGUAACACGUGAGUAACCUGCCCUUGACUUUGGGAUAACUUCAGGAAACUGGGGCUAAUACCGGAUAGGUGCUCCUGCUGCAUGGUGGGGGUUGGAAAGUUUCGGCGGUUGGGGAUGGACUCGCGGCUUAUCAGCUUGUUGGUGGGGUAGUGGCUUACCAAGGCUUUGACGGGUAGCCGGCCUGAGAGGGUGACCGGCCACAUUGGGACUGAGAUACGGCCCAGACUCCUACGGGAGGCAGCAGUGGGGAAUAUUGCACAAUGGGCGGAAGCCUGAUGCAGCAACGCCGCGUGCGAGAUGACGGCCUUCGGGUUGUAAACCGCUUUCGCCUGUGACGAAGCGUGAGUGACGGUAAUGGGUAAAGAAGCACCGGCUAACUACGUG